This 84-nucleotide transfer RNA is filed under the name Clostridium sp. Its description in RNAcentral is "tRNA-Tyr". It matches the Rfam family "tRNA". Rfam says of the family: Transfer RNA (tRNA) molecules are approximately 80 nucleotides in length. Their secondary structure includes four short double-helical elements and three loops (D, anti-codon, and T loops). Lineage: Bacteria; Bacillati; Bacillota; Clostridia; Eubacteriales; Clostridiaceae. The record is from RNAcentral. RNAcentral also lists the same sequence under 4 other names.
GGGCAGAUGUGCUUAGUGGCGAUAGCAACGGACUGUAAAUCCGUCACAUUAGAAACACCGUAGGUUCGACUCCUACUCUGCUCA